This 579-nucleotide ribosomal RNA is filed under the name Ophiocordyceps sinensis. RNAcentral's name for it is "SSU rRNA". It matches the Rfam family "Eukaryotic small subunit ribosomal RNA", at positions 560 to 1145 of the family's 1831-position model. The record is from RNAcentral. Lineage: Eukaryota; Fungi; Ascomycota; Sordariomycetes; Hypocreales; Ophiocordycipitaceae.
UCUGGUGCCAGCAGCCGCGGUAAUUCCAGCUCCAAUAGCGUAUAUUAAAGUUGUUGUGGUUAAAAAGCUCGUAGUUGAACCUUGGGCCUGGCUGGCCGGUCCGCCUCACCGCGUGUACUGGUCCGGCCGGGCCUUUCCCUCUGUGGAACCCCAUGCCCUUCACUGGGCGUGGCGGGGAAACAGGACUUUUACUUUGAAAAAAUUAGAGUGCUCCAGGCAGGCCUAUGCUCGAAUACAUUAGCAUGGAAUAAUGAAAUAGGACGCGCGGUUCUAUUUUGUUGGUUUCUAGGACCGCCGUAAUGAUUAAUAGGGACAGUCGGGGGCAUCAGUAUUCAAUGGUCAGAGGUGAAAUUCUUGGAUCCAUUGAAGACUAACUACUGCGAAAGCAUUUGUCAAGGAUGUUUUCAUUAAUCAGGAACGAAAGUUAGGGGAUCGAAGACGAUCAGAUACCGUCGUAGUCUUAACCAUAAACUAUGCCGACUAGGGAUCGGACGAUGUUAUUUUUUGACUCGUUCGGCACCUUACGAGAAAUCAAAGUGCUUGGGCUCCAGGGGGAGUAUGGUCGCAAGGCUGAAACUU